AACAGAACAUAAACAUUAUGAUGAUUGCCUUGGAAGGAGAUGAUUAGUCCUGACACUCUUAAGAACGUGAUACCAUUACUCAUGCCAACAUUAACUGUCCCUCACGAUUAGACCUAGGAAGGUGACCCACACACACUCCCGCUAUGAAUGUUACACCCUCCGUUAUUGAUGUUACAGUCUAAAAUAGACAUUCAAAUAAAAAUAAUUUGGAAUGUUAAAAAAAAUGUAAACGGAAGUUGCAAAACCUUAGAAUUGCAUAAUUAUAGGUAGACACCACACCCUGACAGGUAGACACCACACCCUAACAGGUAGACACCACACCCUGACAGGUAGACGCCACACCCUGACAGGUAGACACCACACCCUGACAGGUAGACACCACACCCUAACAGGAAGCCUGAAUAGUAGACAAGCCAGACACCACACCCUGACAGGUAGACACCACACCCUGACAGGUAGACACCACACCCUGACAGGUAGACACCACACCCUGACAGGUAGACACCACACCCUAACAGGUAGACACCACACCCUAACAGGUAGUCACCACACCCUGACAGGUAGACUCCACACCCUGACAGGUAGACUCCACACCCUGACAGGUAGACACCACACCCUGACAGGUAGACACCACACCCUAACAGGAAGCCUGAAUAGUAGACAAGCCAGACACCACACCCUGACAGGUAGACACCACACCCUAACAGGAAGCCUGAAUAGUAGACAAGCCAGACACCACACCCUAAAUAGGUGUCAUAGGUGUCAGAUAGGAUCAUCUAGAACAGAGGUCCAGAGCCUGCUGCUCUUCUGUUCUACCUGGUAAUUCAUUGCACCUACCUGGUGUCCCAGGUCUAAAUGAGUCCCUGACUAAAGGGGAAUCACCUACCUGGUGUCCCAGGUCUAAAUGAGUCCCUGACUAAAGGGGAAUCACCUACCUGGUGUCCCAGGUCUAAAUGAGUCCCU
Oncorhynchus keta (chum salmon) is the source of this 963-nucleotide long non-coding RNA. RefSeq lists it as uncharacterized. The record is from RefSeq and is a predicted model, not a curated record. Lineage: Eukaryota; Metazoa; Chordata; Actinopteri; Salmoniformes; Salmonidae. The transcript is spliced from 5 exons.